RNAcentral lists this long non-coding RNA (1923 nucleotides) under Danio rerio (zebrafish). RNAcentral describes it as "lncRNA (ENSDARG00000117737.1)". Lineage: Eukaryota; Metazoa; Chordata; Actinopteri; Cypriniformes; Danionidae. The record is from RNAcentral.
UAACACAUCUGCCAUCUCAAACAGAUGUUUGGAGCCGUUCCUCCGAUCCGCUCCGGGAGUGCCAAUGUUGUGCUGUUGCCAUGGAGACGUGAACCACGCCCUCCGGUGGUGCAUGGAGGAGCUACACCAGCUGACUGAGGAUGUUCCUGCUGAAGGUGUGACUCAGGGCAUCCACACAUCAGCUCUGCGUGCUUCAGUGACCGCCGUCUGCAGUGUUUGUGGACGAACGUGACUUUUAACCCGGUCAGCAGGUCAGCGCUUUACACCUCCUUUUCUAGAGCUGUUUAUACAUGUGUGUGUGUGUGUGUGUGUGUGUGUGUGUGUGUGUGUGUUGGAGGACAUUCAUCAGUGAGCUGCUCUGAACUCAGCCAGGACUGACGGUUUGUGUUUCAUUUAUCAAGAAAUCCUGAGUGUGAAUCCAAACAAGAAGACAGGAGCAAUUCUGCUGCCGAAAGCUGUAGUGAUAGCAGCGCUUAAAUCACCAACACUGCUGCUGCCAUCAACACUCCGGCACCGAGUAUCAAUAAUGACAAAACACCGAGACUCCUUUACUCAAAACCUCCUCAAAACACCCUAGCAACAGCAAAACAUCCUCUCAGAAAACACUAGCAACCACCCAAAACAUCUUAUCAACUACUUAAAGAACUCUUGCAACUGCACAACAACCUUUUAGAACACCCUAGCAACUGCACAACAACCUUUUAUAACAUCCUAGCAACUGCACAAAAACCUUUUAUAACACCCUAGCAACUGCACAACAACCUUUUAGAACACCCUAGCAACUGCACAACAACCUUUUAUAACACCCUAGCAACUGCACAACAACCUUUUAUAACACCCUAGCAACUACAAAAAACCUUUUAGAACACCCUAGCAACUGCACAACAACCUUUUAGAACACCCUAGCAACUGCACAAAAACCUUUUAUAACACCCUAGCAACUGCACAACAACCUUUUAGAACACCCUAGCAACUGCACAACAACCUUUUAGAACACCCUAGCAACUGCACAACAACCUUUUAUAACACCCUAGCAACUGCACAAAAACCUUUUAGAACACCCUAGCAACUGCACAACAACCUUUUAGAACACCCUAGCAACUGCACAACAACCUUUUAGAACACCCUAGCAACUGCACAACAACCUUUUAGAACACCCUAGCAACUGCACAACAACCUUUUAGAACACCCUAGCAACUGCACAACAACCUUUUAGAACACCCUAGCAACUGCACAACAACCUUUUAGAACACCCUAGCAACUGCACAACAACAUUUUAGAACACCCUAGCAACUGCACAACAACCUUUUAGAACACCCUAGCAACUUCACGGCAACCUUUUAGAACACCCUAACAAUUUCAUAGCAACACACAGGACACCUACUGUAUGCAACCGUACAGGAAACAGGAUACCCUAGCGACUACAUAGAAAUAUUUUAGAACACCCUAGCAACUGUAUAGCAACACCCAGGAUAUCGUAGCAACUGCAAAGCAACACUCAGAACACCCUAGCAAAUACAUGUCAACAUCCAGGACACCCUAGAAACUUCAUAGUAACCAUCCUGAAACCCUUGAAACUUCAUAGCAACACCCAGCACACAUAGCAACCAUCUGGGACACGCUAGCAAUUGCAUAUCAGCUCUCAGGACACCUUUGCAUAGCAACUCCAUAGCAACACCCAGGACACUUUAGCAACUGCAAAGCAACUACCCAGGACACCAUAGCAACUGCAAAGCAGCACCCAGCACAGCCUAACAACUACAUAGCAACACUCAGAACACCCUAGCAACUGCAUAGCAGCACUCUGGACACCUUAGCAACUACACAUCAACACCCAGAACACCUUAGCAACUGCAUAGCAACACCAAGGACACCCUAGUAUCUGCAUAGCAACACCCAGGACACCUAGCAACUGCGUAGAAA